ACUCCUACGGGAGGCAGCAGUGGGGAAUAUUGCACAAUGGGCGGAAGCCUGAUGCAGCAACGCCGCGUGCGGGAUGACGGCCUUCGGGUUGUAAACCGCUUUCGCCUGUGACGAAGCGUGAGUGACGGUAAUGGGUAAAGAAGCACCGGCUAACUACGUGCCAGCAGCCGCGGUAAUAC
RNAcentral lists this ribosomal RNA (179 nucleotides) under uncultured bacterium. RNAcentral's name for it is "partial 16S ribosomal RNA". It matches the Rfam family "Bacterial small subunit ribosomal RNA", at positions 335 to 526 of the family's 1533-position model. The record is from RNAcentral.